UCCCGUCUACUACAUACAACGUUACUACAACGUAUCCCGUGACAACCAGAGACAUUCUUCAAAGGACAGAGGACUCGGRUUGGCGACACGGUCCAUCUACCACCAMCCUACUGAAGCGCAGCUCAGAAUUCGCUGGAUAUUUAUUGUGCCAUUUUCACUGGUUCCCCCAAGGCCAUAAACCGUGUGCUUGUGAACAGGAUCAUCCACACUGCAGUCCAGGGCUUCUGUCUGCAGACUGAGGGCUUCAGCCAUAAACUCUUCAGCUUCUUCUCCAGAGCACUGCUCAAUGUCAGGCGGGAGAGACACUUGCCGGUGGUGGAGCACUUGGUCUGCUGCCAUGAACUGCCGUAUGAGGGUGUGUCGGCUGGGUGAGGAGCUCCUGCCCUCUGUGCUCUACGUAUGGAGACAGAUAAGGCCCAGCAGCACUCUCAAAGAGGAGAUAGUAGAGUUAUUCAACCUGCAGCUCUGUGUACAUCAUCUCAAGGGUCAAAGACACAAGACACAGGAAUGGCUGGAAUGUUGUGAAUAGACUGAAAACUGAAAAAACACCAUUGUCUUAUGAAUCUGUUUAGAUGUUAAACAAUAAAAACGGUGUAGAACAACA
This is a non-coding RNA of Salvelinus sp. IW2-2015, 604 nucleotides long. The record is from RefSeq and is a predicted model, not a curated record. Lineage: Eukaryota; Metazoa; Chordata; Actinopteri; Salmoniformes; Salmonidae.